RNAcentral lists this unclassified non-coding RNA (391 nucleotides) under uncultured fungus. Its description in RNAcentral is "sequence contains ITS1". The stretch from base 1 to 105 matches the Rfam family "5.8S ribosomal RNA", at positions 50 to 154 of the family's 154-position model. Lineage: Eukaryota; Fungi. The record is from RNAcentral.
GAAGUGCGAUAAGCAAUGCGAAUUGCAGAAUUCCGCGAAUCAUCAGAUCUUUGAACGCAAAUGGCGCCAGAGGGAUAUCCUUUUGGCAUGUCUGUUUCAGUGUCUGAGAGGUUUCACACUUAUCUUAAUGUGAUUGAUGGUUUCUGCUCUACUAUUAUAUAGCAAUAUUAAUAAUGGAGUGCGAAGCAUCUCUCAUGAAAGUUGCGCAAGUGGAUCUUUCGGUCCAAUGAAGUGGUCACAUCACUCGCAUGUGAUUUCAUUGGAAGCACCGAAUUAUCCGCAUACUUGCGGUUUCAUGCUGUGUUUGAGUGCAUCUUUUAGAUAUAUUCAGACAUCGCAAAACUCUCCACACCCUGCAUCUGAAAUAGGCAAGAUCACCCGCUGAACUUAA